CGCCUGGAGUGGCACGAACGCGAAACGUUACGGCGCCAUAGGAUGUGGCUGCGGCCGAUUAGGUAGACGGUGGGGUAACGCGAAACGUUACGGCGCCAUAGGAUGUGGCUGCGGCCGAUUAGGUAGACGGUGGGGUAACGGCCCACCGUGCCCAUAAUCGGUACGGGUUGUGAGAGCAAGAGCCCGGAGACGGUAUCUGAGACAAGAUACCGGGCCCUACGGGGCGCAGCAGGCGCGAAACCUUUACACUGCACGCGAGUGCGAUAAGGGGACUCCGAGUGCGAGGGCAUAUAGUCCUCGCUUUUCACGACCGUAAGGUGGUCGUAGAAUAAGUGCUGGGCAAGACCGGUGCCAGCCGCCGCGGUAAUACCGGCAGCACGAGUGAUGACCGCUAUUAUUGGGCCUAAAGCGUCCGUAGCUGGCCACGCAAGUCUAUCGGGAAAUCCGCGCGCUUAACGCGCGGGCGUCCGGUGGAAACUGUGUGGCUUGGGACCGGAAGACCAGAGGGGUACGUCCGGGGUAGGAGUGAAAUCCCGUAAUCCUGGACGGACCACCGGUGGCGAAAGCGCCUCUGGAAGACGGAUCCGACGGUGAGGGACGAAAGCUCGGGUCACGAACCGGAUUAGAUACCCGGGUAGUCCGAGCUGUAAACGAUGUCUGCUAAGGGUGGCACAGGCUACGAGCCUGUGCUGUGCCGUAGGGAAGCCGUGAAGCAGACCGCCUGGGAAGUACGUCCGCAAGGAUGAAACUUAAAGGAAUUGGCGGGGGAGCACUACAACCGGAGGAGCCUGCGGUUUAAUUGGACUCAAC
Molecule: ribosomal RNA, 810 nt
Filed under: Natrinema sp. 2TK1
Lineage: Archaea; Methanobacteriati; Methanobacteriota; Halobacteria; Halobacteriales; Natrialbaceae
Description: bacterial SSU rRNA
Rfam family: Archaeal small subunit ribosomal RNA
Source: RNAcentral